This 459-nucleotide ribosomal RNA is filed under the name Salmonella enterica. RNAcentral describes it as "bacterial SSU rRNA". It matches the Rfam family "Bacterial small subunit ribosomal RNA", at positions 1 to 456 of the family's 1533-position model. The record is from RNAcentral. Lineage: Bacteria; Pseudomonadati; Pseudomonadota; Gammaproteobacteria; Enterobacterales; Enterobacteriaceae.
AAAUUGAAGAGUUUGAUCAUGGCUCAGAUUGAACGCUGGCGGCAGGCCUAACACAUGCAAGUCGAACGGUAACAGGAAGCAGCUUGCUGCUUCGCUGACGAGUGGCGGACGGGUGAGUAAUGUCUGGGAAACUGCCUGAUGGAGGGGGAUAACUACUGGAAACGGUGGCUAAUACCGCAUAACGUCGCAAGACCAAAGAGGGGGACCUUCUGGCCUCUUGCCAUCAGAUGUGCCCAGAUGGGAUUAGCUUGUUGGUGAGGUAACGGCUCACCAAGGCGACGAUCCCUAGCUGGUCUGAGAGGAUGACCAGCCACACUGGAACUGAGACACGGUCCAGACUCCUACGGGAGGCAGCAGUGGGGAAUAUUGCACAAUGGGCGCAAGCCUGAUGCAGCCAUGCCGCGUGUAUGAAGAAGGCCUUCGGGUUGUAAAGUACUUUCAGCGGGGAGGAAGGUGUUG